AUUGAACGCUGGCGGCGUGCCUAACACAUGCAAGUCGGACGAGUGGCGAACGGGUGAGUAACGUAUCGGAACGUACCGAGUAGAGGGGGAUAACUGACAGAAACGACAGCUAAUACCGCAUAACAUUAGAUCGGCCGAUGUCGGAUUAGCUGGUGGGCGGGGUAAAGGCCCACCAAGGCGACGAUCAGUAGCGGGUCUGAGAGGAUGACCCGCCACACUGGGACUGAGACACGGCCCAGACUCCUACGGGAGGCAGCAGUGGGGAAUAUUGGACAAUGGGCGCAAGCCUGAUCCAGCCAUGCCGCGUGUGUGAAGAAGGCCUUCGGGUUGUAAAGGACUGUUGGCGGGGAGGCGGUACCUGAAGAAUAAGCACCGGCUAACUACGUGCCAGCAGCCGCGGUAAUUC
Molecule: ribosomal RNA, 406 nt
Filed under: uncultured bacterium
Lineage: Bacteria
Description: partial 16S ribosomal RNA
Rfam family: Bacterial small subunit ribosomal RNA
Source: RNAcentral